This 724-nucleotide long non-coding RNA is filed under the name Nicotiana benthamiana. Its description in RNAcentral is "long non-coding RNA (NBEN_LNC009446)". Lineage: Eukaryota; Viridiplantae; Streptophyta; Magnoliopsida; Solanales; Solanaceae. The record is from RNAcentral.
ACAUCCUAAACUCUCUAGUCGUCACACUUUACACCCCACCCCACCCCCUUCUCUUCAUCUUCUCCACACACCCCCUCAAAUCCUAAACCACCAAAAUUCAAACCUCUCCAUGGCUGCCCUUCCCGUCUUCUUCCUCAUCACCACCAUCUCCCUCGCUAUGAACAACCACGAGCAACCAUUUCCCCAUCGACCUGCAUCCAAACGACCCCUCCAUCGUCCCUCACGACCACUCCUCCAAACGAUCAUCUCCCAUGGCUGCUCUUUCUUCUUCGUCGAAGCUCCAUCCAUUUCACGUUCAAUAGCUUCUCCAACAGAAACUCACCUCUAUCUCAAGUAGCCAUUAUUGCGGCUUCACCAGUAGCAGCGUACAGUCCGCCUCCAUCAUGUCCGUCCUACACUACCACCCCUCCAUCGAUGAACCCUACUGACCAGACGACCUCCGGCCCCUCAUAGCCUUGUCAACCUCCAGUCCUUCCCGUCUCAACCAGCUGAACAGACACGUAGCGAACACCAUCGGAAAAAACUAGUCACCACCCACUCAAAAUGACCCUUUCACGCCAGUACAGUUCGUGGUCGUCCCGUUGCAGCCUCAGUUCGAGGUCGUUGUUGCGAUUCUGGGCAUAUUCGAGUUAUUUUUUGGUUUCAAAGUUUCUGGGCAGAUUUGUUUCCAUUCGAGUUCGUCGUUUUUUCGAUUUGGUUAGUUGGUUUAAGUUUCAUUUCUGUC